This 72-nucleotide transfer RNA is filed under the name archaeon. RNAcentral's name for it is "tRNA-Thr". It matches the Rfam family "tRNA". From Rfam's summary of the family: Transfer RNA (tRNA) molecules are approximately 80 nucleotides in length. Their secondary structure includes four short double-helical elements and three loops (D, anti-codon, and T loops). The record is from RNAcentral. RNAcentral also lists the same sequence under 1 other name.
GCCUCUAUGGCUCAGCGGUAGAGCGCCACCUUGGUAAGGUGGAGAUCCCGGGUUCAAAUCCCGGUAGAGGCU